RNAcentral lists this unclassified non-coding RNA (306 nucleotides) under plant metagenome. RNAcentral's name for it is "partial contains 5.8S ribosomal RNA, internal transcribed spacer 2, and large subunit ribosomal RNA". The stretch from base 1 to 105 matches the Rfam family "5.8S ribosomal RNA", at positions 50 to 154 of the family's 154-position model. The record is from RNAcentral.
GAAAUGCGAUAAGUAGUGUGAAUUGCAGAAUUCAGUAAAUCAUCGAAUCUUUAAACGCACAUUGCGCCCCUUGGUAUUCCGUGGGGCAUGCCUGUUCGAGCGUUAUCUACACCCUCAAGCUCUACUUAGUGUUGGGCGUCUGUCCCGCCUUCACGCGUGGACUCGCCCUAAAUGUAUUAGCAGUGGUCCUUGCCCCCUCCCGCGCAGCACAUUGCGCUUCUCGAGGCUGCGGCGGCCCGCGUCCAACAAGCUAAACCCCCCCGUCUUUAACCUCGGAUCAGGUAGGAAUACCCGCUGAACUUAAGC